This is a non-coding RNA of Pelobates cultripes (western spadefoot toad), 388 nucleotides long. The record is from the annotation of a GenBank genome assembly. Lineage: Eukaryota; Metazoa; Chordata; Amphibia; Anura; Pelobatidae.
UACACACACUUUUACACAUAAGCACACUGCAUCCACUACUGACACUGCAUUUACUAAUCAAAUACUCUCUCUCUCACACUCACUCACUCUUGAAAACAUUAGAAAAAUCUGACUGGCAUGAAUAUUUUCUGGAUUUACCACUUAAUAAAAAAGAUUUUCAAAAAAUCGGCCUGGAAGUUCAGAUUAUCAGUAUCGGCUCCAAAAAAAUCAAUAUCGGUCGAUCCCUACCUGUGCAGCACUGCCCCAGGAAGCAUCUCUAGUAGCCAUCUGAGGAAUGGGCAGUGGAGUUAUCUCUAGGCUGUAAUGUAAACACUGCAUUUUCUCUGAAAAGACCGUGUUUACUGCAAAAAGAGAAUGAUUCUACUCACCAGAACAAAUACAAUAAGCU